This 840-nucleotide long non-coding RNA is filed under the name Parus major (Great Tit). RNAcentral describes it as "lncRNA (ENSPMJG00000000311.1)". The record is from RNAcentral. Lineage: Eukaryota; Metazoa; Chordata; Aves; Passeriformes; Paridae.
GCAGUCUCUGGAUGGUUCGCUGUAGCCACAGCUCUCUGACCCAACACAUCCGUGUCACAGUGCCUUCUCCAUGCCGAUCCCAACGCCAAGCCAAGCCUCCCUGUGAGGGAGGUUGGAAACGUUACCAAAGCCCGUGGACCAGCAGUGAAUAAUGUUUACCAGAGAUCUGGCUCACCAAGUUCUUAGUGCCUUCGAGCUAGCAAGGCCAAAGGGGCUGCAGCAGGACAUCAUGCCCGAGCCACCGUUGGAUCAGCAGCCCAGAAAGCAGAUGUGCCAAUUUCCUGUCCUUGAUGAUGAUGGGCCCUAAUUACGCCAGAGCUGUGGCUAUGUCCUUUCUUGUGUAUGACCCCUAAUUUGGUUUCAUGAAGUCGUCUGUGCCAGGUUCUUCCGGCUGCAAGGCUGGGCCCCUGCUCUUGGCUGCAACACCAUUCUGCUGCUCCGUGUAACUUCAGGUCAGUGAAGAUUUCUACACCAAACUCCAGCCAGACCAUCUAGAGGAUGUGCUUGGGGAAACGCCACAUUCAGAAGGAUUUUGUGCUCCUGUCCUUGCAAGAGCCAUCAGAACCAGCCGCACUUCAGAGAAUGAGCCAGAGUCACCAUGGGCUUGGAAAGUUGCUGGGGAAAGCUCAAGAGUUUCAAAAUGGUGCUGGAUCUCAUAAAAGGAAGUCUGAUGGAUUCAGCAGAGUUCAUAUAAACACCCCAGGAAGAACAGGGGAAAAUAACCCAGCAGCUCAUGUGCAGGUAAUCAGAGGUGAUGCAGUCCAGGUGGAGGGACUGGGGUGCAGAGACGAGGGUCUCAAUGAGAACAAUAGGAGAGGCUUGUUGAGGGAUGUGUUGUUG